This 71-nucleotide transfer RNA is filed under the name Camelus bactrianus (Bactrian camel). It matches the Rfam family "tRNA". From Rfam's summary of the family: Transfer RNA (tRNA) molecules are approximately 80 nucleotides in length. Their secondary structure includes four short double-helical elements and three loops (D, anti-codon, and T loops). Lineage: Eukaryota; Metazoa; Chordata; Mammalia; Artiodactyla; Camelidae. The record is from Rfam by way of RNAcentral. RNAcentral also lists the same sequence under 2 other names.
GUGGAUAUUGCUCUGUGGUAGAGUACAUGCUUAGCAUGCAAAAGGUCCUGGGUUCAAUCCCCAGUACCCCA